CCCUCCCUCACCCUAGUUGAUUUUCAUCUUCUUCUCAAGAAGAAAAGAAGACCGCCGCCCUCCGCCACUCUCUCUCAAAAACUCUCCACGCCGCCUCACCUUCUCCCCCAUCGUCAUCUUCGCCUUCACUGGAGCAACCAACAUCACUUCUCAUCCUUCUCUCUCUCCACACCGCCGUCUCCUCCACCGGCAAAGAGCACGUAGCAGCCGGCGCUGCUCUUCAUCGCCUCCAUGCAGCAGCCAAUGGCGAAACUCCACCAGUGAGCAACAGGCAUCCGCUCCAUCUCGCUGUCCAGCACUGCUCCUUCAGCUGCAGCAACAUCAAUAAUGUCAACAACAUCACCAACAGCUGCAGCAGCCAGCAGUUCCUCCGGCAGCAACCAGAUCGGCGAGCAACGACAGCAACCGGCAGCAGCAUCAACAGCUGCAAUGGCAGACAGCAGCUCCUCAGCGGCCACGAGCAGAACCACCAGCAGCAGCAACCUUCAGUUGUAGCGAACAACGCAGGAGCAGUAACAGGAACACACAGCAGCAGUUCCUCCGCUAUCAAUCGCGAGAACGACAACGAGCAUCAGACGGAGUUUGAGGUCUUAGUCGCUAGAGACAGAUCUUAACAGAUCUAUGCUUGGUAGUGUUGGGCCCGAAACUAGAGCUAAGAAAAUCAAAAGAUGUUACAAAUUACAUUUAAUUGGAGUGGAAAGGCCCACACAAUAGUGCAGAAUAGAAGUUGGUAGUUGGCAUACCUGCGCGGUCGGCUGAGCGAAGUGACUCCAAUCGCCCAGUCGCAUGGAGCACAACAAAACAACUCAAAAUUUAGGGUAUUUUUGAGAUUUUACAAAGGAACACCCCAUGCUUUAUAAGUUUAAAGUGUCCCAAAAGACGAGGGCGUCAGGAGGAUAGGAGAAAAAUCAUGAGGAGCAAGAAAAAAAAUGAAGAACGAGAAGGGUACACCACUCUAAUCCAAAACGGAAGUUGGGAUUAAGAGUUGUUUGUGAUGUCUUCUAGUUUACUCUAUAUUUUUAUGAAGUUGUUUAUUUCUAUGGAGUAACUUCUAAUUAGGGCAAGGACAAUAUGACGUAGGGUUGUUACUAUUGGAUUAUGUUUAUGUUUAGAUGCAUAAAAUUGUGAAUUUCUAUUGAAAUUGGUAUUGAAAUGUUAGUUAUUUUUGCAA
Molecule: long non-coding RNA, 1171 nt
Organism: Solanum dulcamara
Lineage: Eukaryota; Viridiplantae; Streptophyta; Magnoliopsida; Solanales; Solanaceae
Exons: 2
Source: RefSeq, a predicted model, not a curated record